UAAGCCCAAGGUUUCCCGGGCCAGGAUCAUCCUCCCGGGGUUAGUCGGGACCUAAGCCGAGGCCACAUGGCGUAGGCGAUGGAAAUCAGGUUAAUAUUCCUGAACCAGCUUGGAUGUGUUGACGUCAGCAGGGACGAAGAAAGAUAGCUCAGCCGGGCGAUGGUGCCGGUUCAAGCUCGUAGGUGGAUUCCCCAGGACCGUACCGGACAAACAGGGAGUCAAAACACCGAGAAGCGAUGAGGGAUAGACCGCCUCGGCGGAAAGUCAAACUGAGUGAUUCUAUGCUUCCGAGAAAAGCUGCGGGCCGAGCAUUCCGGCUGUCCGUACCGCAAACCGACUCAGGUGGGCGGGAAGAGUAUUCCAAGGCGUUUGAGAGAACCGUGGUUAAGGAACUAGGCAAAUUGACACCGUAACUUCGGGAUAAGGUGUGCCUCCGAGGUGGAGCAGAACAUGCCGAGCCAGAAGAGGUCGCAGAGAAUAGGGGGUAGCGACUGUUUACCAAAAACACAGGACUGUGCGAAGUCACGAAGACGACGUAUACGGUCUGACGCCUGCCCGGUGCUGGAAGGUUAAGAGGAGAGGUUAGACGCAAGUCGAAGCUUUGAAUCGAAGCCCCAGUAAACGGCGGCCGUAACAAUAACGGUCCUAAGGUAGCGAAAUUCCUUGUCGGGUAAGUUCCGACCUGCACGAAUGGCGUAACGACUUCCCCGCUGUCUCAACCAUGGACUCAGUGAAAUUGAAUUCUCGGUGAAGAUGCCGAGUACCCGCGGCAAGACGGAAAGACCCCGUGAACCUUUACUAUAACUUGACAGUGGUAUUCGGGUGGAUCUGUGUAGGAUAGGUGGGAGACUUCGAAGCGGGUGCGCCAGCAUCCGUGGAGUCAUCGUUGAAAUACCACCCUGGUCCUCCUGGAUGCCUAACGUGGGCGGCUGAAGCGUCGUCACGGACACUGUCUGGUGGGUAGUUUGACUGGGGCGGUCGCCUCCCAAAAAGUAACGGAGGCGCACAAAGGUUCCCUCAGCCUGAUUGGAAACCAGGCGAAGAGUGCAAAGGCAGAAGGGAGCUUGACUGUGAGACCUACAAGUCGAGCAGGUGCGAAAGCAGGUCUUAGUGAUCCGGUGGUUCUGCGUGGAAGGGCCAUCGCUUAACGGAUAAAAGGUACUCCGGGGAUAACAGGCUUAUCUCCCCCAAGAGUUCACAUCGACGGGGAGGUUUGGCACCUCGAUGUCGGCUCAUCGCAUCCUGGGGCUGGAGCAGGUCCCAAGGGUUUGGCUGUUCGCCAAUUAAAGCGGUACGCGAGCUGGGUUCAGAACGUCGUGAGACAGUUCGGUCCCUAUCUGCCGUGGGCGCAGGAGUUUUGAGAGGAGCUGUCCCUAGUACGAGAGGACCGGGAUGGACUGACCUCUGGUGCACCAGUUGUCACGCCAGUGGCAUAGCUGGGUAGCUAAGUCGGGACGGGAUAACCGCUGAAAGCAUCUAAGCGGGAAGCCCACCUCAAGAUAAGAACUCCCAGGGGUAACCCUCUGAAGGCCCGUCGUAGACUACGACGUUGAUAGGCUGGGUGUGUAAGCGUCGGAAAAGGCGUUGAGCUAACCGGUACUAAUAGGCCGUGUGGCUUGACU
This 1622-nucleotide ribosomal RNA is filed under the name metagenome. RNAcentral describes it as "bacterial LSU rRNA". It matches the Rfam family "Bacterial large subunit ribosomal RNA", at positions 1340 to 2925 of the family's 2925-position model. The record is from RNAcentral.